CUGCCUUCCCUCUGAGGUUUGACGGCACAUAUACUAAAAUUGGAAGGAUACAGAGAAGAUUAGCAUGGCCCGCAAGGAUGACAACUUGAGCAGUGUUUUAAUAUUGA
This is a small nuclear RNA of Myotis lucifugus (little brown bat), 107 nucleotides long. The record is from Ensembl. NCBI's taxonomy places the organism in Eukaryota, Metazoa, Chordata, Mammalia, Chiroptera, Vespertilionidae.